AAGCACCGACCCAUUGCCCAAUCAGAAGAAGCAUGGGAAACCGUCUUCAGUCUUUUCUGUCACUCCUUUCAUAAUGACGAUUUCAUUUCCAAGGUAAGCCAAAAGAAAUCAGUCCGUUUUAUUUUCUUGUUCAAAGCCUUUCAUUCUUCAUUUUUCUUCUCUGGAGACUUCUUCUUCACUUCCCCCAUCCAGCCGAGCUUGAUCCAUUUGCAUAAUCUGGAACUCCCCUAUCCAGGUAAAACUCUUCUCCUCUUCUCAAUGAUUCUGUUGCUAUGAUAUGAGCAAGACCAUUUGCGGAUCUAGGUAUAUACUGAAAUCUGAUGUUUUCAAGUCCAUAGAUUUCCUGUUGAAUGUCAAAAAUGUAUACUUCCACCAUAGAUCUAUCUUGACUCUUCGAUUUACAUUUUUUGACUAUUGUGAGGGAGUCUCCUUCAAGGAUCAAAUGUCGCCAUCCCCUCCUGAUUCCCAUUUGAACGCCUUUCCGGCAGGCAAUUGCUUCAGCAGCAAAGGCUGAUGGAAUACCAAAAUGAAUCUCUGAAUAUGAAAAAAGAAUAGUACCAUUCGAAUCUCUGGCCACAAUACCCACACCCGACUGAUUCUUUACUUUAUCGUAAGCACCAUCAAAGUUGAUCUUCAUGAAACUUUCCUGUGGUGGCGACCAUCUCUUUUUCUCUAAGGUACGGUUCAGAUCUCUCUUCUCAAGACUAUCAAUUUCUUUGAUGUAACUGAUUAUAAGAUUUGCAACUUCCGUCCCCUUUCUAAUUUUACCUUCAUGUAUUCUUUUGUUUCUGUCACCCCAUAUUGCCCAGAGUGCACAACAAAAUACGCGACUUUGAUCAAGGUUGAGCUGCUCUAUUGCCCAGGUAAUCCACUGUACAAAAUCUUCACAAUGAUUCCUUAAAAUGCACUGAAACGAUAAUGAUCUCCAUACCUCCCUUGUAAUAUGACAGUAACGAAAUAAGUGGUUCAUUGGUUCAGCUUCUUCUCCACAUCGGGGACAGCUCGGAUUUACUACUAACUUCCGAUGUUGAAGAUUCACCUUUGUAGGCAGAUAAUUCCAAGAUAGCUUCCAUAUUGUAACCUUAAUUUUAGCUGGUAGAUUCAGGCACCAUAGUUUUUUAUAAAAAUUCCCAUAGAUGGUCUGUAAAGCAUAAGCUCUAGGAUUGUCAGUCAAUUUUUGUAAUAGUUGAUAGGCACUUCUGACCGUAAACUCACCCGACCGUUCGCCUCCCCAGAUAAGAAAAUCAUCAUGCGGUGUUUGUGCCAGAGGGAUUCUGAGGAUUCUAGCUGCGUCGUCUUCCAGGAAGGUACUAGUAAUCAACUCUUUUUUCCAACUUCUGGUAUUAUUAUCAAUCAACUCGCCAACUUUAACAUCACGCAAAAAAUUAAUAUCUGAUGAUAAUCUAAAAUUAACAGAAUCUGGAAUCCAAGCAUCGCUUAUGCAAAUAUUAGUACCCGUCCCCACCCUUCAACAAUGCCCUUUUUCCAAUAAGUCCUUUGCUGCCCAAAUACUUUUCCAUACAUACGAACUAGAAUUUCCUAACCUGAAAUUUAAGAAAUUAUCAUCCGAAAAAUACUUAGCUUUAAACACUUUCGUUACAAGCGCAUUCUGAUUAUUCAUAAUCCUCCACCCUUGCUUAGCCAAUAGAGCUACAUUGAACUGUGCCAUAUUUCGGAAGCCCAUACCACCCUCUUCUUUAGGCCUACACAUAAAUUCCCAUUGACACCAUUGAAUUCCUUUCUUUCCUUUCCCUUUCUGCCACCAAAAUCUAGCAACUAAAUUGUCAAACUCAUCACAAAGCGAUUUUGGUAAUAGAAAACAUGUCAUAGCAUAAGUAGGAAUUGCCUGAAGAACUGAUUUAAUAAAAACCUCUCUACCCCCUUGAGAGAAGAAGCGAGUACUCCAAUUAUCAAUUCUUUGCUUUAUUCUGUCUUUGAGAUUCUGAAACGAUUCUUUUUUCUUCCGGCCUACAAUAUUUGGCAAUCCAAGAUAUUUUUCCAUAUUGUUCGAAAAUCUUAUUCCCAUAUCAGCUGAUAACCUGCCUUUAUCCCCCUCCUUCAAAUUCGAACUAAAAAAGAUCAUUGAUUUAUUAAAGUUAACGCAUUGACCAGAGCAACUCUCAUAUUCUUUCAAAAUAGCUUUGAAGUUCCUUGCACUACUUUCUGUGGCUUCACCAAACAAAAUACAAUCGUCUGCGAAUAACAAGUGCGAUAUUAUCGGGCCUCUUCUGCUGGCUCUCACCCUUUUAAUCAAUCCCUCUUUUGUAGCAUUCCUGAUUAACGACGAUAAACCUUCAUUGCAAAUAAGAAAUAGAAAAGGGCUAAGUGGGUCACCCUGUCUGAGUCCUCUGGUUGGUUCAAAGACUCUACCAUUCCUCCCGUUCGUAGUAACAACAUAAGAGACUGUAGAAAUACAUCUCAUUAUAAGUACCACCCAUUCCUUCGCAAAACCCAUCCGUAUCAUAACUUCCUUCAAGAAAGCCCAUUCCACCCUAUCGUAAGCUUUACUCAUGUCAAGCUUAAUUGCCAUAAAACCUUUCUUCCCCUUACGUUUUUUCCGAAGAGUAUGCAGAAUUUCAUAAGCUAUCAAAAUAUUGUCUGAAAUUAGCCUCCCUGGGACAAAUGCACUUUGAGCACUAUCAAUGCAUCUCCCGAUGACUUCUUGAAAACGAUUGGCAAUAGCUUUAGCAAUAAUUUUAUAAAGAACUGUGCAUAAACUAAUUGGUCUAAAAUCUGCAAGGUUUGUAGGAUUGGAUUUCUUCGGAAUAAGGGUAAUCUUAGUUACAUUUAACUCUUCCACGUCUUUUCCAUUAUUUAAAACUUCUAAACAAAAAUUCCCAAUAUCUUCGCCCACUAUAUCCCAGUAUUUUUGAAAGAAUAGAGCCGGGAAGCCAUCAUAACCUGGAGCUUUUGUUGAACCCAUUCCCUUCACUGCAAUAUAAAUCUCCUCUAACGUAAAUUUUUUCAAUAGGGUUGCAUUGAUAUCCGAAGAGAUGCAAUUCUGAAUACCUGUUAGAAGAUGAGAAGGAUCUCUAACGCCUGUAGUCGAGAAAAGCUUUUGAAAAUACUGCGUCGCCAACUCAUUAAUUUUAAACUCCUCAGUAAUUCCUCUCCCAUCAUCAUUAUCAAGCCUGCUAAUUGUAUUAAUUUUUCUCCGCAUUGAUGCAUAUUUAUGAAAAAAUUCUGUAUUUUUAUCCCCCAACUUUAGCCAAUUAGCUCGUGCUCUCUGUUCCCAAUACAUCUCCUCCUUCUCGAUUUCCAUGCUCAAAUGAAUUCUUUUAUUAAUUAUCUGGUUCAUAACAUCUUCAUCAGGUUCCUUCUUCAUUAAAUCUUCAACCUCUUUUGUAGUUCUUUCUGUCAUUCCCUUCCGUUGCCUUCUAAUAGAUUUAGCCCAUUUCGAUAAGCUAAUCUGCAAGUUCUCAAGAUUUUCCAAAACCGAUCCAUUUUGUGACUUCCAGGCUUCCCGAAUUUCUUUCUCUAUUGACUCCUCUGUAGUCCACCAGGCUUCAAAUUUAUAACUUGGAACUGUCUUGAAACUGUUUAAAUUAAUUGUGCUUAUUAACAAAGGACAAUGAUCCGAAAGGGUAGACAUCAGAUGAUUAAUAUUGCCCGUUGGAAAUAACUCCAUCCAUUUUUCGUUUGCAACACCUCUAUCCAAUCUUUCCCAUAAUUCGUCUCUGGUAAAUUCCCUCUCUCCCAUGUAUACCAUACUCCUGAAUAUCCCAAGUCUAAAAAGUGACAUUCUUGUAGAGUUUCCCGAAACGCUGCCAUCUUUCUUUCAUCCAUCGGUUGACCUCUUUUUUUUCAAAAGAAUAAGCUAUUUCAUUGAAAUCUCCACUCACUAACCAAGGAUACUCUUGCUCCUGUCCCAAGAUCUUUAAUAAAUCCCAUGAAGCAUUUUUAUCUUGUGAGUAGGGAGAGCCAUAGAACCCUGUGAAUCUCCAAUCGCCAUGAGCACCUUCUCCUUUAACCAGCACAUCAAUAUGACUUAUUGACAAAGAUCUAAGGUGAAUCUGAACCUCCUCUCGCCAUGCUAAACAAAUACCACCCUGCGUACCAGUAGCUCCUACUUCAAGUCCAUUCAUGAAACCACACAUUCUUCUAAUUGCUUCCAUACGUUUUCCACUUACUUUAGUCUCCAUUAAGAAGACAAAUUGAGGAUUAUUUUGCUUCAGUAAAAAUCGAAGCUUCCUUACUGCCCGUGGACUCCCCAAUCCACGGACAUUCCAACAUAUGAUUUUCAUUGUGCCCGGUCGGCUUGCCCAUUGGCAGCCGCCGAUCCUGUCUGGUUGGAAAAUUCUAUUUGUAAAUUAAUUUCAUCCUUCGAAGUUAGAUCCUGUUCAGCACGUUUUGUCCUUUUUAGAUUCUCUUCUCGAAUCUCCUUUACCCCAUCUUCAUCUUGCACUAAUUCUGCCAAUUUCCUUUUUUGCAAUUUACGAUCAGCCUCAUGGUUCUCCUUCCCUCCCACUAUUUUCCUUCUUUUCCAACUAACUUUCCUGGCUAAAACUAGAUUACUGACAGUACUAUCUACAUUACCUCCUUCAUUGAUACCUGCUUCCUUGUGUAAUUCAAGAUCUGCAACAGCUGAUGCCAAACAAGAACUAUCCUGGAUCCCUCCCACUAAACCACUACUUUGCUCCAUGUACUGAUAUUCUUCCUGGUUCUUUGUAAUGCCUCCAACAUAAGAGCAUUGUGGUUGUGAUUUUUUCAAUAAAGCAUUAAACUUUAAACUCUCCCUUCCCACUAACUUUGAUUCUGCUUUUAAUGCUAAAGAAAAAGGUAGAUCCACUUUAAUUCUGUUUUUCUCUACAGGAGUAAAUUCCGAGCAAUCGUGGAUGCCAUGCCCUAACUUGCCACAUCCAAAACAGUAAGUCGGCAACUUUUCAUACUUAAAUGGGAUCCAAGAUUUAUUCCCAUUCCCUAUUGUGACAAAAAUACCCCUUCGAAGAGGUUUCUGAACAUUUAACAGCACUCUAAGCCGACAAAAUUCACCAAGAAUUUCAGAUCUGAUUACCUCUCCAAAAGUGACUCCUAUAGCAUGCAAAAGGUCUUUUUUAUCAAACUCUGGUAGACACGGCCCAAUUUUAAUCCAAAACGGUGAUGAGACAAGCCGAAUUUGAUCUCUUAACAUUGAUUUAUUCAACCGAUCGAACAGGAUUAAUUGCUUCCUAAACAACCAUGGUUGGCCUUCCAAAACAGUCUCUAAAUCCUCUUCCAAUUCAAACUCAAUCAAAAAGAGAUUUUGUCCAGCAACUUGAAUCACAAAUUUCUUCCUUGUCUUCCAAAUACUCCUCAUCUGUGCUUUGAAACUAUCUUGAUUGUAAGGUUUCUUUGUCCAUACAGAACAUAUCAAAGAGAAAUUGCCACUUGGUUCCACCAUCGAACUUUUAACCGAAAGUUGAAUAAGCUCUUCUGUUAAUAAGGCGAUCUCAUCUCCCCCAAACCCAUCGUUACCACCGCUCUCCAUUAUCCCAAGCCGCAGCAGCCACUGUUUUCGCUAAGAUACCAAGGAUAGCACUCUUGGUUUCUAGGGUUUUAUAGUAAUAUAAUAUUAAAACUAAUAAUUUUUUAGUAACAUAAUUGAAAAUUUCAUAAAUUAAUCUUAAAAAUUAGUAAUUUUUUUAAAUGUAAGAGAAAUAUAAUUUUCUAAACAUUAUUAAAAUUUUAUUUAUAUAAUUUUAAAAAUACACAUUAAAAAUUAUUAAAAAGAACACAUUAAAAAACUAUUUAAAAUUUUUAAAAAAUAAUUUAAUCUUUUAAGCAGCAUACAUGAAUUUAAAUUUCAAAAUAUGUACAUGAUAUACUUUAAACAUAGAUGAAUAAAAGUAAACUUUAAAAAGUUUCUAAAAAGUUAAAAUAAUUUUUUGAAAAACAUUAUUACAAAUACAUUUCAUAAAUAAAAUUUUAAUAGAUUUCAUGAAUACUUUUUUUUUUAUAUUUGUUUAAUUUAAGAAUUUGUAUAUAUCGUACUUUAAUUUUAUCAAAUAAACAUUGA
RNAcentral lists this long non-coding RNA (5995 nucleotides) under Gossypium barbadense (sea-island cotton). Its description in RNAcentral is "long non-coding RNA (GBAR_LNC021489)". Lineage: Eukaryota; Viridiplantae; Streptophyta; Magnoliopsida; Malvales; Malvaceae. The record is from RNAcentral.